UACGAAGGGGGCUAGCGUUGCUCGGAAUUACUGGGCGUAAAGGGCGCGUAGGCGGGUCGUUUAGUUAGAGGUGAAAGCCCAGGGCUCAACCCUGGAAUUGCCUUUAAUACUGGCGGCCUUGAGUAUGGCAGAGGUGUGUGGAACUCCGAGUGUAGAGGUGAAAUUCGUAGAUAUUCGGAAGAACACCAGUGGCGAAGGCGACAGCACUGGGCCAUUACUGGACGCUGAGGCGCGAAAGCGUGGGGAGCAAACAG
This 254-nucleotide ribosomal RNA is filed under the name uncultured bacterium. RNAcentral's name for it is "partial 16S ribosomal RNA". It matches the Rfam family "Bacterial small subunit ribosomal RNA", at positions 524 to 775 of the family's 1533-position model. The record is from RNAcentral.